AGUGAACGCUGGCGGUAGGCCUAACACAUGCAAGUCGAACGGCAGCACAGUAAGAGCUUGCUCUUACGGGUGGCGAGUGGCGGACGGGUGAGGAAUACAUCGGAAUCUACUUUUUCGUGGGGGAUAACGUAGGGAAACUUACGCUCAUACCGCAUACGACCUACGGUUGAAAGCAUUGGAUCUUCGGACCUGUCGCGAUUGAAUGAGCCGAUGUCGGAUUAGCUAGUUGGCCGGGUAAAGGCCCACCAAGGGGACGAUCCGUAGCUGGUGUGAGAGGAUGGUCGGCCACAUUGGAAGUGAGCCAGGGUCCAGGCUACUACGGGAGGCAGCAGUGGGGAAUAUGGGACAAAGGGCGGAAGCCUGAUACAGCCAUAGCGCGUGGGUGAAGAAGGCCUUCGGGUUGUAAAGCCCUUUUGUUGGGAAAGAAAAGCAGCAGGUUAAUACCCCGCUGUUCUGACGGUACCCAAAGAAUAAGCACCGGCUAACUUCGUG
Molecule: ribosomal RNA, 492 nt
Filed under: uncultured bacterium
Lineage: Bacteria
Description: partial 16S ribosomal RNA
Rfam family: Bacterial small subunit ribosomal RNA
Source: RNAcentral